AAGUAGUGCAAGAUAAACAGACAUGUUUUUACAGAAAUAACGAUUUAGAUAUUUUUUCCUUAUGUGCACCUACCCAUACAUAAUAUUGACACAUUACAGCUUUAUUUCAAUUCAACGCGAUUUGUGCGUAACUGUUUCUCCCUCGUACCAAAUAUGAGAUAAUAAUAAGUAACUUUAAAGAGUAUAGGCAGUACAGUUACUCUAAAGAAAUUCCACACACUUUCCGUACAGUUUCGCAAGUACACGUGCGAUUUCGAAAUUAAUUACAUUCUUCAGUAGAAAACGUUUAGUUUUUGAGUCGUGGGUAUAUACAUU
Cinara cedri is the source of this 315-nucleotide non-coding RNA. NCBI's taxonomy places the organism in Eukaryota, Metazoa, Arthropoda, Insecta, Hemiptera, Aphididae. The record is from the annotation of a GenBank genome assembly.